This 406-nucleotide ribosomal RNA is filed under the name uncultured bacterium. RNAcentral describes it as "partial 16S ribosomal RNA". It matches the Rfam family "Bacterial small subunit ribosomal RNA", at positions 30 to 526 of the family's 1533-position model. The record is from RNAcentral.
AUUGAACGCUGGCGGCAGGCCUAACACAUGCAAGUCGAACGAGUGGCGGACGGGUGAGUAAUGUCUGGGCAACUGCCCGUUGGAGGGGGAUAACUACUGGAAACGGUAGCUAAUACCGCAUACCAUCGGAUUUGCCCAGAUGGGAUUAGCUAGUAGGUGGGGUAACGGCUCACCUAGGCGACGAUCCCUAGCUGGUCUGAGAGGAUGACCAGCCACACUGGAACUGAGACACGGUCCAGACUCGUACGGGAGGCAGCAGUGGGGAAUAUUGUACAAUGGGCGCAAGCCAGAGAAAGACAUGCCGCGGGUAUGAAGAAGGCCUUCGGGUUGUAAAGUACUUUAAGCGAGGAGGCGUUACUCGCAGAAGAAGCACCGGCUAACUCCGUGCCAGCAGCCGCGGUAAUAC